AUCAGUUCCUCCAAACAGAAAUGCACAAAGGUAUUUAAUAAGGGCAAAUUAUUUUUAAAAUAAACGUUAAGUAUGGUCAGGACAGUGAAGCAAUCGCAUAUGCAUUUAAUUUCUGGGAAAACACGAAGAGUACAAACAACUAGCUAGGUUUAUAACUCAGAGGCAGAAACUUGUUUGAUGACAUCUAUUAAGCUUUGAUAGCCGCCUUUUCGAGGCCCUACCCUUCACCACUCCUACUAAUAGCUCCCCCUACUCUUAUCCCAGUACAAUCCAGCUGGUGAAGAGAACAGCGAAAGACUUUGGUCCUGGACUCAAAAAAUAUUUCCCCGACCGCGCUACUUCCUCCAACAGCACCAAGUCUAGCUCCAUCUCCGUCCCCUGCAGAUUCUAGGCUCCAUCUAUCUUUUCAAGUCUCCACCCUCCCUCCCCCACUCCCAGGCUCCACCUCCCCCGACCCUAUCCUUCAGGCGCGCCUCUCCUCUCUCGGACUUUCACAACCACCAGCGACAUCAAUCUCUCGCUUCCUGCUCCACUUCUCGGCGCCCACAUCUCCAACUGGCUCAGGCUCCCCAUGUCCCCAGCCGGUACGGAGCUGCGGUCAGCGGAUUGUGCGGCUGAGCCAUCCUCGUGACGGUCCCGCCUCACUCACCCUCCGUCACCUCCAGCACCUUAAUCUGUUCUUCAGCAGCCGCCCGCACCUCCUGUACUGGGGAUAGGAUCCCGGUGAGCGUAUCCACUAACGCUUCCUUUAAUCCUUGUGCCACUGGACCCGGCAGCCCGGAGGCCGCACCAGCUGCCGCCGCCGCCGCCAUCUUUUCUCCCCUCAGCCCGCCAGCCCCGCGGCCGGGACCCGCCACCGAAUGACGGCCCCCGCGCGCGGCCAAUCCGCGAAGCCGCGCCUGCGCACCAGAGGCGGGCGGGAGCGGGCGGAGGGCGGGGAAUGAAUCUAAGCCUCCAGAGACAGCGCCUCCUGCUGCCUGAACGAGAACUGCACCUUUCUCUGCAAGGAUCUCUGGAUUUGUGUGAAAACUGAGCCCCAGACAGGUUAAGGGGCUUUCCUAAAGUUGCACAAACCCUGUCAUCCAUGGGAGCUUACCACGUGGAUGCAGAAGCUUUUGUGAGGGGCAGCCCGGACCAUCUUUUGGACUUAAUAUACCGAUAUGAAGAUUCAGAUGCAUCUACUCCUCGGUUGGGUGGAAGAGUGAUCCAGGUUGGCAGCCGUCUUGUUGAUGUCCCCUAUGUCAUCCAGAGGGCAGGAGCGGGCAGCUCUCUACCUUGGCAACUGGUUCCUCUCUCUCCAGCUUCAUCUUUUCCAUUGUUUUUUGUUUGUUUGCUUGUUUUUGUUUUUCAUUUUUACCUUUUACAGAUUGAUUUAAACAUUUUUUAAACCACAUGCUUCUUUUUCUGGGCUCCAGCCAGAUCUCUGGGGGAGGAGUUGUUGGCAGUGGUGAUGGAAUUGGGAAGGGUCUGUGAGAAAAUCUGAGGAGCUUCCUGCCUCCCCCAGAUCUCCCUCACAAGACUGUCUCUCUCAGGGUUGCUUGUGAGAAUCAUUUAGGAACUGCUGCAGUGUUUUGAUGUUUUCUGAACCCCUCCCCAGAAAGCCCAGGAGUUUGUAAUUGAAACAAGAAGUCAAGGGAAAGACCCA
RNAcentral lists this long non-coding RNA (1645 nucleotides) under Homo sapiens (human). RNAcentral's name for it is "HSALNT0020019". The record is from RNAcentral. Lineage: Eukaryota; Metazoa; Chordata; Mammalia; Primates; Hominidae.